Molecule: ribosomal RNA, 300 nt
Filed under: uncultured Lactobacillus sp.
Lineage: Bacteria; Bacillati; Bacillota; Bacilli; Lactobacillales; Lactobacillaceae
Description: bacterial SSU rRNA
Rfam family: Bacterial small subunit ribosomal RNA
Source: RNAcentral
GAGAAAUCGGGGCCAGCUGGCGGGGGAAAACGGGGGGGGCAAGCGUUAAUCGGAAUUACUGGGCGUAAAGCGUGCGCAGGCGGCUUAUUAAGUCAGAUGUGAAAUCCCUAGGCUCAACCUAGGAACUGCAUUUGAAACUAAUAAACUAGAGUAUCGUAGAGGGAGGUAUAAUUCCAGGUGUAGCGGUGAAAUGCGUAGAUAUCUGGAGGAAUACCAGUGGCGAAGGCGACCUCCUGGACGAAAACUGACGCUCAAGCACGAAAGCAUGGGGAGCAAACAGGAUUAGAUACCCCAGUAGUC